This 1219-nucleotide long non-coding RNA is filed under the name Monodelphis domestica (gray short-tailed opossum). RNAcentral's name for it is "lncRNA (ENSMODG00000051579.1)". Lineage: Eukaryota; Metazoa; Chordata; Mammalia; Didelphimorphia; Didelphidae. The record is from RNAcentral.
GUAUAGUUGAACUUCAGGUGAGAUCAGUCUCUGUGCUUCCCUUUUGUCUUCAGUGGUAGAUUAAAAGCUUUCUUGCUGCCAGUACAAAUACUAUGUCAUGUACCAACAUGCCACAGCUGAUCUGAGAGCCCAGUGAUACUCUGACUGCAAAUUAUUAGAUCCCACCAUAGCCCCACUCCAUUGCUUAUUGAAAACUUAAUCAAGCUUGAAGUAAAGUCACAGCUGGGUCCUUAACGGUGAGAUGACCAAAGUCUAGAUAUUAGAACUUUGAUUUAGAAAAACUGAAAGCCGAACAUUUGAAAAAAGUGGAACUUUGAAACUGUUAGAAACAUAUUUGUAUUUAAAAAAAGACAAGCUAUACUGAAAACUUCAAAAAAAUGGUCUCAGAUACAGUCAGCAGAUUCUUCACCAGCCUCCAACUCGAACUCAAAACUCCAGAAGAAUGUGAGCAGUUAGAAGUUCCAAGCACAAAGAACUCAAUAACUCUCUGAGGAAGCAAUCUCUCUGAAGAUCUCAGAUGAAUCCCAGAUGAAUCUCAGACAAUUCUCCUACACAGGAAUUGUAACUCCCUUUUAAAUACACUUUCUUUUGUGUCACUCACUGUGGCUUCCUCAACUUUUAAGUCUACCAAUUACUAUAGAAGAUUUGCUUUAGGAUUGCCCAGAGGGCAGUCAGUUUGAUUCUAAUUCAUCACCCACUAUUGCACACAUGGGUCACAGACCUCUCCCACUCUAUGAUUAAGUGGGAUGUUUACACUUUCGGUGAUUAAAUCUAAAAAAUGCAGAUCUCCCCACUGAACUGUAAGUAGGAUGUUUAUACUUUUGGGGAUUAAAUCUAAAAAUGGGCAGGGGAGUUAAUUUAAUCUUUAUAAUCAGGGGAUAGUUUUUAAUUUAAUCUUCACAAGAGCAAACUGAGUACUCUUAGGAAACUCCUUACCUCCCCAUUUUCCCUCCUUUAAUAAGAAUAUAUUGUCUGAAUUUCAUUUUUCUGAAAUUUCCUCAAUAGAUUUCUAAUCAGAAAAUAUUUGUUUGAAUCUUAAUUAUGCUAUUUACUAUCUGUGUGAUUUUGGUUGAAUCAUUAAACAUUUAUGGAUUUUAAUUCUUUAUGUAUAAACUGAGGGAAAUGAAAUAAGCAUAUGAGUUUCCUUGGAGCACUAGAUACUAUGAUAUCUCCUUAUGAGAUCAUAUUUAACCUUUUUCUGAAUUACUGGAAAUUUUUU